Molecule: ribosomal RNA, 504 nt
Filed under: uncultured bacterium
Lineage: Bacteria
Description: bacterial SSU rRNA
Rfam family: Bacterial small subunit ribosomal RNA
Source: RNAcentral
CGAGUUUGAUCCUGGCUACAGACAACGCUGGCGGCAGGCCUAACACAUGCAAGUCGAGCGGUAGAGAGGUGCUUGCAUCUCUUGAGAGCGGCGGACGGGUGAGUAAUGCCUAGGAAUCUGCCUAGUGUGGGGGGAUAACGUUCGGAAACGGACGCUAAUACCGCAUACGUCCUACGGGAGAAANCGGGGGGAUCUUCGGACCUCGCGCCAUUAGAUGAGCCUAGGUCGGAUUAGCUAGUUGGUGAGGUAAUGGCUCACCAAGGCGACGAUCCGUAACUGGUCUGAGAGGAUGAUCAGUCACACUGGAACUGAGACACGGUCCAGACUCCUACGGGAGGCAGCAGUGGGGAAUAUUGGACAAUGGGCGAAAGCCUGAUCCAGCCAUGCCGCGUGUGUGAAGAAGGUCUUCGGAUUGUAAAGCACUUUAAGUCGGGAGGAAGGGUAGUAACCUAAAACGUUGCUACUUUGACGUUACCGACAGAAUAAGCACCGGCUAACUUCGUG